GACAGAGGGGGCAAGCGUUGUCCGGAGUUACUGGGCGUAAAGGGCGCGGAGGCGGCCUGUGGCGUCGGCGCUGAAAGCGCCCCGCUUAACGGUGCGAGGAGUGCCGAUACGCGGUGGCUAGAGGCGAGCAGAGGGUGGUGGAAUUCCGGGUGGAGCGGUGAAAUGCGUAGAGAUCCGGAGGAACGCCAGUGGGGAAGCCGGCCACCUGGGCUUGGCCUGACGCUGCGGCGCGACAGCGUGGGGAGCAAAUCGG
This 253-nucleotide ribosomal RNA is filed under the name uncultured bacterium. RNAcentral describes it as "partial 16S ribosomal RNA". It matches the Rfam family "Bacterial small subunit ribosomal RNA", at positions 524 to 776 of the family's 1533-position model. The record is from RNAcentral.